This is an RNA transcript of Trichechus manatus latirostris (Florida manatee), 1197 nucleotides long. It is a transcript of the gene named marginal zone B and B1 cell specific protein, with no coding region annotated. The record is from RefSeq and is a predicted model, not a curated record. The transcript has 6 exons. Lineage: Eukaryota; Metazoa; Chordata; Mammalia; Sirenia; Trichechidae.
ACUUGCACCCCAAGACAGCCCACACUUGCUGAGCUGGCUCCAGAGGCCAUGAGGCUGUCACCACUACAGCUACUGCUGCUGCUGGGGGCCUGGGUCAUCCCAGGGGGUCUUGGGGGCAGAUCUCCACUCACGGCUACUGCCCCACAGCUGGACGAUGAGGAGAGGUACUCAACUCAUAUGCCUACACACCUGCGCUGUGACGCCUGCAGGGCUGUGGCCUACCAGAUGUGGCAACAUCUGUCAGAGGCCGAGGCCAAGCUUCAUACCCCAGAGUCUGGGAGGCGACGAGAACUGAGCGAGUCAGGGUAUACAGAUGUCCUGGACCGAAGCUGCUCCCAGAGCUGGCAGGGCUACGGGGUCCGAGAAGUGAACCAGGUGAAACACCUUACAGGCCCAGGGCUCAGCAAGGGACCAGAGCCAAGCAUCAGUGUGAUGGUCACAGGGGGCCCCUGGCCCAUCAGGCUCUCCAUGACAUGUCUGCGCUACCUGGGGGAGUUUGGAGAAGACCAGAUCUAUGAAGCCCACCAACAAGGCCGAGGGGCUCUGGAAGCAUUACUAUGAUCUGCCUGAGGCUCCUUCUUCCCUGGCUCUCACCCCAGAGAGAACCCCUAGGCACCAGGAGGAGAAACAGGGCCAAGGAACCGGAUGAGCAGUUAACGUAUGGGGUGUGGAGCUGGGCACCUAUGACGUGGACCUGUGUGACCUUGUGUUUGUAUAGAUUGAUUCAGAGACACUCUUUACAACAGAGUCUGGGUGCUCUGGGUCCAUUUGUGCAUCUGUGUACUUGGGACCAUGUGCAACUUCCCCUCCUGUCUCCAUGUGCUGUUGUGUGAUUUUAGUUGAAUUGUGCGUCCAUGGGGCUAUGUGUAUAAAGGGUUGGGCUCAGUCUCCACAGCUCCCUGGGGGGCAUUGAGAGGAGAGGGUGGGGAGAAAAGUGCUGAGGAGCGCCUCCAAGCUCCAAACUGGUCAGACGACUUUGGGAGCCUGACAGCAGAAGCCAAGAAGGGAGAGAAGAGGACAGACCGACCAACAGACAAAAGGGCUGGAGGCCAGACAGCACACGGACUCAGGGCUGUGUCAUGAAGCUGCUACCUAGCUGGAGAUCAAUGCUGCCCACAGGCCCUCGGAGCAGGGCCUGGCCGUGGGCACAGCGACUGAGAAGAACUGCUCACUGCUGCACCCGAAAGAUGAGUGCCC